Molecule: ribosomal RNA, 200 nt
Filed under: uncultured bacterium
Lineage: Bacteria
Description: partial 16S ribosomal RNA
Rfam family: Bacterial small subunit ribosomal RNA
Source: RNAcentral
AGAGUUUGAUCAUGGCUCAGAUUGAAUGCUGGCGGAAGGCUUAACACAUGCAAGUCGAGGGGCAGCGGAUUGGUAGCAAUACUGAAGACGGCGACCGGCGGACGGGUGAGUAGUGCAUAGGAAUCUGCCUUUUAAUGGGGGAUAGCUCGGAGAAAUUCGAAUUAAUACCGCAUAAAGCCUAAGGGUGAAAGGAUGGGGCA